AUAUAUGCAGUGUUACCUUCAUUUUAGAUGUCAAAAGGGUUUUGCGGCUCCUGCUGUUUUCUUUUGUGUGGGAAACGGGUCCAAAUGGCUCUUUGAGUGUUCAAGGUUGCCGACCCCUGAACUAGACAAACUGUUGAAAAAAGCUUGGAAAAGAUUUUAUGCAACCAGAAUAUAAGUGUAGUUUCCUUGAGGAAAAAAAUGUUUGGAAUAUAUUCCAACACAACAAAUCAUUGCAUUAUUUAUUUAUUUUGUUGGUGCAAAGAGCACUACCCAAAGCAAUAUAAAACAAAAACAUCCCUGCGUGAAGUGACCUGCAGUCUAAAUUCCAGCCAAAGGGGCUACAGCACAGGGAAGAGAGAAAAGGCACAGAAAUUAUGGAAGUUGUGACAAUUAUAAUACUUAAUUCCCACUACUGCUUACUGUCUAACCUCAAAUUAGUGCUUCAAAUACUGGGCUACCCCCUUUCUAUGAUGAAAGAAACAUGCAGGCCAACUUAAAGCAAAAGCAAGCAAGCACGGAAAUUGAACUUUUAACAUGGAUGCUGGGAAAAGUGUGCCCAUUGUGGCUCUUGUAUCACCCCUGUUCCAUUACCCUCUGCUCCUCAGUUCACAAGCUACUCCUUAAACGAGAAUGGAAGCUUCAGAAGGAGAGCUGUUGCAUGUUGUAGAGCUUGACAAACCCUGCCAGUCUCUUUGUCAGCUCAAAUGGGCCCAUUGGAAAUGGCCUCUGCUGUUUCACUGCUGUUACGGAACACUCCCUCUGUACCAUCUGGACAACCAGCCUGAGAGCCACCUGCCUCCUGCUCCCACCACUUCUUCAGGUUCCUGCUUGUCAUCCAACUACUAUCUACAGUAUCUAUAGGUGUCUUCAAAUCCACAAGCAAGAGCACCUGAGAAUGAAGAUGUUAGAAACUGCACACAAGGGGCAGAGAGAGCCUCAGAAGGAAGUGCAAGGUGCUCAGCACCUGGGUACCCUUCCCAUCCCACAUGCUGGAAACCAUUUCUUGUUCUCUCAUUUCCUCCAAUGGGUCUCUAUCAAUUGGACAAUGCUUUGGAAAACAUUCAGGAGAAACUAAUCCUCAAUACCUUCUAAGUUCUGAUAUAAUUGAAGUCGUUACACCUUGGACUCAUACAUCAGCUAGUGGAUCAAAGACCAUCGGGAGGCUGCACUCUGCAUCCCAGGAGGAUCCUGUCAAGAGAGGAUAUUGACCAGGCCCAUUCAUCACCCAGAGAACAAGCUGCUGUGGAGAGCUUGGUUUGCCCGAACCCCUACCAGAAUGAACACCUAUAAGAACGAAAUCUAGUGUCUGAGCUUUCCAUUUUUCUUUUUCCUUCCCAAACCUUUUCCCUCUUUUGGAUGGCAUGUUUGAGGGCUGGGACAGGCUUACUGUUAAGCCUUUUUCAGCUGAAAAUUUAAAGACCCUUCAAAUGAUAAAUUCCAAAGUCCACAUUAGUGUAAUACUUGUUUUGGUCCAAAGAUCACUCUGUAAAACAUGCAAGGUUUUAAGAGCUCCAGACUUCAUUAGGAAAGAUGUUACAAAAAGCUGGUUUGGGAGGGAGGUGAAAUGGGAAAAAGAAAAUAAACCCAAACAUCUGAUUUGGUAAAGUCACAGUGUCUUCUAUCCAGAUCCAAUGAAAAACCAUCCUGUCAGGAUUUUCCUCCUCAUUUCCCACCCUGCCUUUCAAACAUGUUUUAUGUAACACCAUUUCUGGUGAAGAUGGCAGAAGAUCUCAAGUGCUUGGACAUUUUUGUGAGCUUUUGGUUGGCCUAAUAAAGGUACUGUGCUAAGAUGGAUUUGGAAUUUGUCUUACUGUCAAUAUGUUUAUCUUUGUUCCUCUUUUUUGUAUGUAACUAAAUAAACACAUGUGGCUUUUUCUGUCCUACCCUUGCAUGAUAAAUGCUGACUGUUUCAGAAACCAGGUCUUUUCUCAUUUGGAGUGGUUUAUCUAGCAAACUAAGCCAGUUUCAACAUCUGUAUUUUUUCGACAGCAAAGAACAAACUUCAUGGAAGCAAGCAACCCUGAAAUCUUACUCCAGCAAUCUUUGUUGAAUCCCAAUGUUUGGGCUUUAUUCCCUUUUGUUCUUGCAAAACAGUUACCUUCCUGAGUCACGAGUUGUUUGUUAAGGAGUGCCCUUUGGAAGGAUGAACCAGGAACUCAGAUUCCCAGGUGGCUGGUUCAGUUUACCCCAAGGCAGCCUAGGUCAGUUUUGCAAAGAAAUCCCUGUUAAAAAAUCCUCAUGGCCUAGGCUUCACAGAGUGACAGCUUUAGCAGUUGCUGGUACAAGCUCCACAGAAAGUGUUUGCUUCUGGAGCAGGAACGGUGUGAGGAAUGGAGAACCUGAUAGACCAAGUGAAAAAAGAAAGCCCAUUUCUAACUGUGGAUAUUUCAAUAAUAGAUAUGUGAGGUUCUGUUUUACUUAGAGAAUGGAUUUCACUAAUCUCUUCACAAUUGGAACAUAGUUUUUAAUAAGGACUCAUAGCUUCAACUUACCUCCAUACUUCAGACUUCCCUGGGCAUAAUAGAUAGCUUUAAUGUCAAAAGCUGCCACUGCCAAGAUUUAUUUGGAAUUUCUGACUUGCAUUUCUAGUUGGAGCAAACCUAUCCACCUCUUGCUACUAACCAGAAAGCCAGUGUGGUGCAGUGGUUAUGAGCGCAGGAUUGGGACUCAGGCAAUAUGCGUUCGAGUCGCUGAUCGGUAGUGGAGUGAGCUGGGUGACUUUGGGCCAGCCACAAACUCUCAGCCCAACCUACCUCACAGGGUUGUUGGGGUUAAGAUUGAGAGCAGGAGGAGAAUGAUGUAAGCCAUGUUGAGUUCUUUGGAAGAUAAAAGGCAGGAUAUACAGUAUAUCUAAUUUUUAAAAAUAGACUCAAAAGCACAUCACCAUGCGCCUUAGCCACUCUCCUGCAACUCCUACUACAGAGGAGAUACUAUUAUUACUUGCUAGUUAGGAACUGCUUCAGGACAAAUUUCAGAGGGAAGAGGCUUCUGUUUAGUACAAACAUGUCCUUUGUUGCUUUGAAAACUAACUUACGUUGUGAGCCGCCCGAGGCUUCGGCGAAUGGGGCGGCAUAGAAAUGUUUUAAUAAAUAAAUAACAUACUGAGAGAAAAUGCUCAUAAGCAAAAGCUCAGUAAUGGUGUGCUCCUAUGCAGGCAGGACUUUUUCUGUUUAAACAAUUCCCAGCAUUCCCCAGCCAGCCAGACUGACUGGGGAAUGCUGGGAGUUGUAAGAUUUUUUUCUGUCUACAUAUGCAUAGGAUUAGACUCUUAAUCACGUACUUGAAUAUGUUUCUGUAAAACCCAGAGAAAUGCCCAGUUAUUUGCAGGCAAACGCUAGCCAUACCUCUAAAUACAUGCCUACAGAAUUGCAUUCUUAACUUUCUGCUCAGGAAGCAGGCAAAUAGCAUUGAUCAGAAGAGAUCAAAAUAUUAGUGAUCAAGUUUGGAAUACAGAUCUAAGAAAUUAACAGAAAUUCUCACUGGUAACAAAUAUGAAACAUAUUACCUAACAAUAUGAUAUACUAUUUCUUAAUCAUGAUAAAGUGAAUAAAUAACAGACAAUUGUGGCACUAAUCCAAUAGGCCAACUGUAAUGGUGAAAAAGUACUGUUAACUACUACUUCCAGUGUUUUGCUUUUAUACUUCUCUGCUCUUUUUCACCAAUGGCUUUCCAUAGUGCCUGCAUCUCUGAGUUUGCUGUCAGCCAUUCUGUUUCCGUUUACAAAUGAAUUAUAGGAUAUGCUGAUCCCCCUGCACUUUAUUGAGAUAGUCCCUGUCUUUCUACCUGCUACAUUUCCCUCUCGGUCUUGUCAUUCCCCCCCUCCCACCCGCUCUUGUUGUCAACUGUAAUGGAAUCUUCAGGUUCCCCUAAUGUAGCUCAGCCUUCUCCACCAGAGAUGUUGGUUGUGGAAGCAAAUCACAAUUCAGAUAAGGUAAACUUCUAUACUUAGCAGCAGACAUUUUAAUGACAUUAAAAGGCAUGCUUUAACAUAUUUACUAGGCAGAAUUAGGCACUUCUAGGACAUUACUGAAAACAAAAACUAAUUUCUAUUCCAGGCUGUGUAUGUUUACAGUUCCCUUUCCCAAAUGUUUUUGACCAUGAUGGGAGAAGAUACAAUGUGUCUGUAAGUGACAUCAGAGGACUGAUCACUUGAUAUUUUAAUUGUUGAAUUAUAUUAAAUCAUGUUUGUUAUAUUAAUAAAAUAAUUCUAUAUUUAA
Varanus komodoensis (Komodo dragon) is the source of this 4217-nucleotide long non-coding RNA. RefSeq lists it as uncharacterized. NCBI's taxonomy places the organism in Eukaryota, Metazoa, Chordata, Lepidosauria, Squamata, Varanidae. The record is from RefSeq and is a predicted model, not a curated record. The transcript is spliced from 2 exons.